AAACACAAGCAUAUACUAGUAUAACAGAAAAAGAAACAAAGAAAGCCAACACAACCAACAACUUGCGACCGUCUUAUUGGAAGGAGGAAGUGCAUGAGUUUAGGGGAAAAUAAUAGUAGUCAGGAAAUGAUUAAGCAGCCCAACAAAUUCGAAAAGCGCACCCAAGUCGAUCGACAUGUCAGUUCUCUCGGUACAGCUAGCGCAGCAACACAAAUUCGAGCGGAUAGAGACUUUAUUCACCCAGACCCAGUUUGCGACAGCGAACACGACGGCAUCAGAGGCCGGCGCCGGCUAGCUAUAUAUUGCUGCCCUGUACAAAGGGGGUACCUUUAGGAGGUCCAGCUCGUAG
RNAcentral lists this long non-coding RNA (349 nucleotides) under Hordeum vulgare. Its description in RNAcentral is "long non-coding RNA (HVUL_LNC008029)". The record is from RNAcentral. Lineage: Eukaryota; Viridiplantae; Streptophyta; Magnoliopsida; Poales; Poaceae.